GUCUGCCUCAGCGUCGGCUU
Molecule: ribosomal RNA, 20 nt
Filed under: Elliptochloris subsphaerica subsp. subalpina
Lineage: Eukaryota; Viridiplantae; Chlorophyta; Trebouxiophyceae
Description: partial 5.8S ribosomal RNA
Source: RNAcentral